AGGGUAUGUAACCCGAGGUACCACUGUGUGUGUGUGUGUGUGUGUGUGUAUAUGUAUAUAUAUAUAUAUAUAUAUACAUAUAUACAUAUACACACAUAUGUAUAUAUAUAUGUGUGUGUGUGUGUGUAUAUAUAUACACACACACACACACACUGUAUAUAC
Non-coding RNA from Podarcis lilfordi (Lilford's wall lizard), 162 nucleotides. NCBI's taxonomy places the organism in Eukaryota, Metazoa, Chordata, Lepidosauria, Squamata, Lacertidae. The record is from the annotation of a GenBank genome assembly.